AGUAGUUUGAUCCUGGCUCAGAACGACGCUGGCGGCAUGCCUAACACAUGCAAGUCGAACGAAGCCUUCGGGCUUAGUGGCGCACGGGUGCGUAACACGUGGGAAUCUGCCCUCCGGUUCGGAAUAACAGUUAGAAAUGACUGCUAAUACCGGAUGAUGACGUAAGUCCAAAGAUUUAUCGCCGAAGGAUGAGCCCGCGUAGGAUUAGGUAGUUGGUAGGGUAAUGGCCUACCAAGCCGACGAUCCUUAGCUGGUCUGAGAGGAUGAUCAGCCACACUGGGACUGAGACACGGCCCAGACUCCUACGGGAGGCAGCAGUGGGGAAUAUUGGACAAUGGGCGAAAGCCUGAUCCAGCAAUGCCGCGUGAGUGAUGAAGGCCUUAGGGUUGUAAAGCUCUUUUACCAGGGAUGAUAAUGACAGUACCUGGAGAAUAAGCUCCGGCUAACUCCGUG
This 453-nucleotide ribosomal RNA is filed under the name uncultured bacterium. Its description in RNAcentral is "bacterial SSU rRNA". It matches the Rfam family "Bacterial small subunit ribosomal RNA", at positions 1 to 507 of the family's 1533-position model. The record is from RNAcentral.